GAAGAAAACACCCUGUAUAGAAACCAUUAAAGAAAACACUCUGCUACAGCUCUGUCAAAGUAUUGCAAGUAGAUUAAAUAACUGCUUGGUCUACCAGAGAGCUCUUGGCGCAAUUUGACCACCACUCACCUUAACUUUACUAAGAAGUUUAUCAGAAACAGCAGAAGAGGGUCCCAGAUCCUAUACUCCCAAGCUUCCCACUCAUCACACCCACCAGCAGCUCCAGAUGUCUUCCCCUCUCCAUUACCAAAGCAGUUGCACAGUAAUUUCAUGGAGUGGAUGAAUAUCACCCAGCCGACGGUGUGGACAAACAGAACAAAUUGGAUUAACUAUUCUCAGGAUUUGGGUUACAUAUGAAGAACAUGCAAGAUUGUUGCAGGCACCAUGUAUGACCCUGGUACUAGGCUUCUCAUGUGGAAGCCAGGCAUUAGCUUCGCUCCCUCCCAGAAAACAUGGCAACUUGCACCAUGGUGGGUUGAAUCUGUUGACAAAGAAGAUUCCAAAGAUUGUCUGAAGUCCACAUGAGACACUGUCAGGAGAAAGAAAUGAAAGCACUGAAAAGGCUUAGGAGGAUGCUGAGAAACAGAAUGAUUUCAACAGUGAUUCAAGCCUCCUGCUUCAAUCAAACUGGCCCAGGGACUAUAUCGGGUCAGAUGGAUCGCUACCUUUCUAUCUUUGCUAACGCUAGAAUGUACUCCUCUUCAUCUUACGUUUGUCAACUUUCUGAAAGUGGUAAUGACAUGUAA
This 746-nucleotide long non-coding RNA is filed under the name Callithrix jacchus (white-tufted-ear marmoset). Its description in RNAcentral is "lncRNA (ENSCJAG00000077373.1)". The record is from RNAcentral. Lineage: Eukaryota; Metazoa; Chordata; Mammalia; Primates; Cebidae.